GAUGAACGCUGGCGGCGUGCCUAAUACAUGCAAGUCGAGCGAAUGGAUUAAGAGCUUGCUCUUAUGAAGUUAGCGGCGGACGGGUGAGUAACACGUGGGUAACCUACCCAUAAGACUGGGAUAACUCCGGGAAACCGGGGCUAAUACCGGAUAAUAUUUUGAACUGCAUAGUUCGAAAUUGAAAGGCGGCUUCGGCUGUCACUUAUGGAUGGACCCGCGUCGCAUUAGCUAGUUGGUGAGGUAACGGCUCACCAAGGCRACGAUGCGUAGCCGACCUGAGAGGGUGAUCGGCCACACUGGGACUGAGACACGGCCCAGACUCCUACGGGAGGCAGCAGUAGGGAAUCUUCCGCAAUGGACGAAAGUCUGACGGAGCAACGCCGCGUGAGUGAUGAAGGCUUUCGGGUCGUAAAACUCUGUUGUUAGGGAAGAACAAGUGCUAGUUGAAUAAGCUGGC
Molecule: ribosomal RNA, 457 nt
Filed under: Bacillus sp. R-43629
Lineage: Bacteria; Bacillati; Bacillota; Bacilli; Caryophanales; Bacillaceae
Description: bacterial SSU rRNA
Rfam family: Bacterial small subunit ribosomal RNA
Source: RNAcentral